AUUGAACGCUGGCGGCAUGCUUUACACAUGCAAGUCGAACGGUAACAGGUCUUUCGGGAUGCUGACGAGUGGCGAACGGGUGAGUAAUGUAUCGGAACGUGCCCAGUAGUGGGGGAUAACUACUCGAAAGAGUGGCUAAUACCGCAUGAGAUCUCUGGAUGAAAGCGGGGGACCGUAAGGCCUCGCGCUACUGGAGCGGCCGAUAUCAGAUUAGGUUGUUGGUGAGGUAAAGGCUCACCAAGCCGACGAUCUGUAGCUGGUCUGAGAGGACGACCAGCCACACUGGGACUGAGACACGGCCCAGACUCCUACGGGAGGCAGCAGUAAGGAAUAUUGGUCAAUGGAGGAAACUCUGAACCAGCCAUCCCGCGUGCAGGAAGAAUGCCCUAUGGGUUGUAAACUGCUUUUAUCUGGGAAGAAAAGCCGGCAUUUAUGUUGGUCUGACGGUACCAGAGGAAUAAGCACCGGCUAACUCCGUGCCAGCA
This 485-nucleotide ribosomal RNA is filed under the name uncultured bacterium. RNAcentral describes it as "bacterial SSU rRNA". It matches the Rfam family "Bacterial small subunit ribosomal RNA", at positions 30 to 513 of the family's 1533-position model. The record is from RNAcentral.